Molecule: ribosomal RNA, 253 nt
Filed under: uncultured bacterium
Lineage: Bacteria
Description: partial 16S ribosomal RNA
Rfam family: Bacterial small subunit ribosomal RNA
Source: RNAcentral
UACGUAGGUGGCAAGCGUUGUCCGGAAUUAUUGGGCGUAAAGCGCGCGCAGGCGGUCCUUUAAGUCUGAUGUGAAAGCCCACGGCUCAACCGUGGAAGGUCAUUGGAAACUGGAGGACUUGAGUACAGAAGAGGAAAGCGGAAUUCCACGUGUAGCGGUGAAAUGCGUAGAGAUGUGGAGGAACACCAGUGGCGAAGGCGGCUUUCUGGUCUGUAACUGACGCUGAGGUGCGAAAGCGUGGGGAGCAAACAGG